Long non-coding RNA from Artibeus jamaicensis (Jamaican fruit-eating bat), 1625 nucleotides. RefSeq lists it as uncharacterized. The record is from RefSeq and is a predicted model, not a curated record. The transcript is spliced from 4 exons. NCBI's taxonomy places the organism in Eukaryota, Metazoa, Chordata, Mammalia, Chiroptera, Phyllostomidae.
GCGGAGGGGUCUGGAUAGCGCGAGGCCGGGUCCCCAGCAAUGGGAGAGCUGCAGAACUGAAGCAGAGGAGGUCCGCCUCUCUGACAGACAUCAAGAGUCCCCCACGCCGCGCACCUGGUGGACGCGGGGCUGCAGGCUGGCGGGGUCCCGGGAUGCAGCAGGCUGGCAACCCCGGCUCUCUCCUGCCGGGAAUGGCCUGGUGACCUUGGGCCGGCCCGAGUGCAGGAACACUAAGAAAUUCAGAUGGAAAAAAGUACUAAGUAAGAGUUCGCCUGGUGCUGUUGAACUUUGGAGGUUACAAACCACUGUAAAUGUCUUUCAUUGCUUCCCCUAAGAUGAUUUUAACCAGCUGGAUGUCAGUAUUCUUGAGAAAUGCAACCCCAGUGAUCUACGCAUAUGGAAGGAGAGGUUGGGACUGAGACCGAAUCAUUGGAAGGCACUGGCUCCCACAGUCAUGGAGCUUGACAAGUCCUAAUACCUGCUGUUGGCAGCUAGAGACUCAGGGAGCCAAUGGUGUGCGUCCAGCCCAAAGCCCCAGCUUUGAGUCCCAGGAAGAACUGAUGUGCCAGUUUGAGUCCAGAGGUGGGAGAUGGAAACAAGGGGCCAUCUCCAGCUCAGGGGCACUGAGGCUGGGAGCUCCCUCUUUUCUAUUUGGGCCCCUCUGUUCUAUAAGGGCUUCAACUGAUGGGGUGAGGCCCACCUACACAGAGGAGCGCCAUCUGCUGCUUCAAGUCUGCAGAUGCAAAGGUUAACCUCACCCAGAAACACCGUCACUGACACGUCCGGGAUGUCUGACCUGGUGUCCAGGUGCCCUAGGGCCCAGUCAGCCUGCCACAGAAGUAGCCAUCGCAAGGGAGAAUGCAGGACCGCAGGGCGAGACUGUGUCUGCGCACUCUGAGAAGAGCUUGGACUGGCAGAAGCGCAAGUGUCCCAGGAGGUGCGGCCCUGGGCCUGAGAGGGUCCUGGCCUGGAGGUGGCCACUCAGAUGCCUUAGUGACCCUGGAGGGCUCUUGGAACCGACUGUCAGGAAAAGGUGGCAUACACUGGAUAUUUCUGUAAAAGUUAAGUUUUAUUGGUCAGGGCGCAUAGCUGGGUUGCAAGUUCAGUCCCCAGUUGGGGCACCCGCAAGGGGCAACCGAUUGGUGUGUCUCUCUCACACUGAUGUUUCUCUUCCCCCCGCCCUCCCUUCCUUCCUCCUCUAAAAUCAAUAAACAUGUCCUCAGUUCCUCAAGGCGCACAGCUAGACCGGUUCGAUCUAUUUCACUGUGGAUAUCUACAACAACAGCACCCCGGGCACUGGCUUCUUGUAUCCCAUUCAUUUAGUUCUCCUGAACGUUCAGACCCUGAAAGCCAGUCAUGCCCUCCAGCAGUGUGGUCCUCCGUUGGCCAUUAACAGCCGGCAACGUAACUGAAAGGAUGGACUAACGGAAGCACGCUCUUCUGAAUGCUACACUCGGGAAAGAUGAACAAGUCACGCGACAUGAACAAAUCUCACAAAUACUCAGCAAAAGAAGCCACUCCUCUCCAAAACACACAAAUUAAAUGAUCUUACCCAUUUAAACUUCAAAGAAUAGCCAAAAUUAAAUUAUGUCAUGCAGGCUCUAUGUUCUGCUAAUUAAACUCUA